UCAGAGUCCAACUGCAAGGCUAGAACUGAAUCAAGGGAGAGAGCAGUCCUCCUCCACCUGAGAAGAAUAUAUCCAGCUUUGCUUCAGAUGGGCAGGGCAUUGCCAUUAGACUCUCCAAGCAGGUAGCCAGCUCCAACAAUAGACUGAGACAGGCAAUAAAAGAAUACAACAGCAUUCAAUGGUCACCGCAGAUAAGCUUCUUACCUGCGACAAUUGAUUUUCAGGAAUCAUGUGAUCCCUCUUGGCAUGUCUACUUCUGCUUUGAUGACACUAUUGAAGAAGAUGAUGUUUCGAGGAGUCUAAAAAGGCAAGGGAUUGAUGCCUUACAUAUGACGACUCGGGCAGCUGAGGAAAAGCGCAUGCUUUACGAAGAAAUGAGAUGUGUAACUGAACACCCCAUCAGCAGCAGGCCUCUAACAUCUGUGCUCUAACAUCAAAGACACUGAGCAGCCUGGUGCAAAAGCUGCUCUUAUUCAACACCUACAACAGCUGGAAAGAAAACUACAUCAAGCCAUUGUGAUGUUUCACCCACAUGUAUCGGACAUUGUUCCUGCAGACAACCCCCACUUGUGUCAGGCCCUCCCCAUGCCAAGCAUACAGACACUGGUAUACAAUGAGCGAUAAUGAAGACAAUGUGGAUAAAUAUGAUGACUAGCACUAUAGAUUUUUUUUUAUUUCUAGUCUGAUAUUGUAUUCUGUAAAAAGAAUGAUGUAAAAUGUAACUCAAUUUAAAAAAAAUCUCACCACUACUUUAUUCUAGGGAUGCACCGAAAUGAAAAUUCUUGGCCGAAACCGAAAACGAGGAAACUUAGGCCGAAAAACCGAAACCCCGAAAUAAAUUAUUAUGCCAAUUAUUAGUACAAAUGCAUUUAUGGCUAUCACUGUGUACUAACUUUACUAGGGGUGUGUGACAGCUCACAAAACUCACGGUUCAGAUCACAUUACAGUUUUUGAGGCACAGAUCAGAUUAUUUUUCAGAUCAGCAAAAAGGGGGGUGGGGAAAAUCUAAUAACAAAUAAAGAAAUUACAAACAUUUAUAAAAAAGAACAAAGCUGCACAUUAAAGGUUCUCUAAGCGAAUCUGCGAGACAUUAGUUAUUGUUGACGUUUGAAACGGUUUUCAAACAGACGGAGCGUAGCUAACUCCUCCCCCUCCCUUCCGUGCUUUCAUGAACGCGCCCAACCCCCACCCCCAAAUCCUUUUUGUCGUUUAUUGGCUGGAAUACUUUGUUUUGUUUUGUGAUGCUAGGUUUGGCCACUUGUUGAUAUUGCCGUUUGUGAAGCCUGGGCUGUCUACAGAGAUCGCGUUUUUUUACAGUUUGAUCAGCGGACAGGCAGCAAGCAGAUAGUGAGGAGAUGUUUCCGGUAUGUAACAAAAAAUGUUUUAUGGUCUAAAACGCUUCAAUUCGCUUAGAGUGCCUUUAAUAAGGGCUAACACAUUAGCAUUAGGUACAGAAAUCGAAUUAAAUGAGUCAUAACACUGUCUUUAUUGUAUAAAUUAAAUAUAUUAUUAUUUUUAGAGCUAUUUGUCUCUUUGUUAGACUUAAGUAGGUUAAUUGAGGUUACGGUCUCUUUAAAUAAACAGAGACUGUAAUCUAUACAUACACUUAAGACAUAAACAAAUGUUUUUAUUAGAAAAAGAAUACUUUGGAGAUAAUUUUGUUUAUAUGUGCCCUGUCAAUAACAGAAAGAUUUUACAUUCACUUGUUUGCGUCUCACUCGUGUGUGCACUAUUGAGGGCACUUAAACGCGCACAGAGAACGAAGGCGAAUCCCAAACAGCGCAGCAUAAAAACGUUACGUUGUUUUUCAUUGCUUUAGUCGGCACAUGUAUGUUAAUGGACUAUACAGUAUGAGACACAUUUGCGCGACUCUCUCUAAAGUUUACACAUUAAGAGUUCUGAUCUUUGAAGGACGUACUCACUAUGAUGAUCACGUCUGGACCGGACACAACCGCAUGUGCCUCUGUGCGUACUUUAGUGCCUUUUUGCGGUUAAAUACAUCCACGCCGCAUACAUGUUGCUUCAGACAAGCACGUGCAGGUCGCAGUUUCUGUUUGCGUCAUCACAACAUUUCAGCCGUAUUGUUUCGGUGAUAAAAGUCUUUCGGCCGAAAAUGCUCUUUUGGGCCAUUUUCGGCCGAAUAUAUUCGGUGCAUCCCUACUUUAUUCUUCAGCUUUAGCAUUACUAACUGUAAUGCCAUAACUUAUACAGUCGUAGGUUGGCCUGUUCUAGCCAUUCAUAGGCUUGAACACGGGAACAUCAUCAUUUUAAAAGCAAUUGUUGGUGCUCACCUUCUAUCUCUGUUUGUAAUUUAAGACAAUGUCCUGGACAACACCCUUUCCCCUUUAAGAUGUUUUUAUACAUUAGGUCCCAAAUGUAUGUACAGAACUCUGUUUAUGUAUUCUGCACGUUCUGCCUGGAAACUGAAAGACUUACAGAGUGAAUCUAGUUUAAUGCUGUUAGAUCCUAAAUGAAAGAAUUGGAGGCUGAUUUGUGUAGUGUGUAGUGGAUUGGUCUAUGGUUCUGUUCCAAUAUCUGUUCUUGUUAAAGUAUUGUAAUCUGUUGAAACUACCAAACCAGGUCUACUUGGCCUGGUCUACUAUGAGGAAGAGCUUAUUAUUCUCAAUGGGACAUAAAAAUCACCACAAUUUGAAAAGAUACUUUAAUCUGCAGUCAUCACGAUAGCUACAGUAGUGGCUGUUUCUGAGGACUGUUCUUCCAGCUAUGUAGAACAUAAAACAUAAUAACAACUUUCUUAAUACAACGUUUGAAUCUAAAUUACAAAUUCAUAAUGAAAUGUGUCAACAUUUAUACUCUGUCAAUAGUAGGGGUGUGCCGGUUUCAGAAUUGGUGAUGACGGUUAUGACGUGAGUCAAAUGUGACGGUUCGUCACAUAACCGUCGGUGGGGGGCGUUUUGCUCGUUUAAAUGCUCGUGGAUUGACGGGAAAUUGUCAUUUGACCAUAAAAUCAUGAAUGUGAUGCCA
Paramisgurnus dabryanus is the source of this 2985-nucleotide long non-coding RNA. RefSeq lists it as uncharacterized. NCBI's taxonomy places the organism in Eukaryota, Metazoa, Chordata, Actinopteri, Cypriniformes, Cobitidae. The record is from RefSeq and is a predicted model, not a curated record.